This is a long non-coding RNA of Drosophila pseudoobscura, 1061 nucleotides long. RefSeq lists it as uncharacterized. Lineage: Eukaryota; Metazoa; Arthropoda; Insecta; Diptera; Drosophilidae. The transcript has 2 exons. The record is from RefSeq and is a predicted model, not a curated record.
AAGUCAGCUGUUUGAUAAGCUGCAAUCGAUAGUAAAAAACGCUGGAAACUGUUUGUUUACUUUUAGAGCUUACCAAAUUGAAACUAAAUUCAAAAACUGAAAUCAAAGUAAUGGAAAAAAAAGGCCAGGGUAGAGAAUACUUAACCAAUCUGCCCGUCUCUUUUUCAUUAACUAAAAGCCAAUAUAACAACUUUCGCGAUCCCAGCAAUAGCAAAUCGUGUGAUCUUCUUCCAGCUUACAACAAUGCAAGAGAAGCUAAAUCAAAAUGUAGGCCUCUGGAUAUUACUGUAACCGAAACAGUUGCUCAAGUCCCAUUACAAAAACUUCUAGAUCACACUAGUUGUCGCAUAAUUCAAAUGCAAGAAGACAUAUUCGAAAUUAUUUAAUUGCGAUUUCCUGCCAGCUGUCAAUUGAUGCAAAACUAUUUAAAAAAUAUUGUAAAGAAAUAUUUACACUAUAUAUGUCCUUGUACUCAUGGUUUCCGAUGUCGGCAACAGUUCAUAAAGUUUUAAUUCACGGUUUCCAAAUAAUAGAAGCAUCAGUACUGCCAGCUCUGCCAUAAAGCAAUAGGUUUGGUCUCCUUAAUACUAUUUACCUGUGUUGUUAAGAUACGAUAUAUGCAAUGUACGGAUUCAACGCUUAAUAAUUAAAAAAAAAUUUAAAAAAAAAAAAAAAAAAAUCAGUACUGCCAGCAUGUGUUCUUGGAGAAAACGCAAUAAAUACUAUGAGAGAGACAGACGAUUACAUGCUCGAAAGGAUUCACGACGCAACAAUAUGACAGAUGUUUUCCAAAGAGCAAUGGAUUGCUCUGAUCCUCUUGUAUCGAGCAUCUAUCUGACAAAAAGAUUGGGUGGAAAUAAAAAGGAACCAUUGUCGAAAGCUGUUAUUGAACUUUUAGAAACACCAUGUUUUGAAAAUAUUUUUUAUAACAAUAAUGCUUCCCUAGAAACUGAUUCUGGUAUGUGUGAAAGUGACGAAUCGGAUUCCGGUAAUGAAAAUUCAUCAUCAAUAGAAAUAGAUGUAGAAGAAGAUUAAUAAUAAAUUCGUUGUACUUUGAAAAA